Molecule: long non-coding RNA, 1325 nt
Filed under: Mytilus galloprovincialis (Mediterranean mussel)
Lineage: Eukaryota; Metazoa; Mollusca; Bivalvia; Mytilida; Mytilidae
Source: RNAcentral
UUUGAUUAAAAAAAAUAAAAAACAAGAAGUAAUUGUAACAGGAUGCUGUUACGAAGUCUCCCAAACAAAGCUCCCAUAACUCGCCAUUCAUAUGGUCCCAUGUUCAUUUGAUUUGAUUUUUUGUCCCAUACAGGAAUAUAUAUGGCUUACGAGUAGGGAUCUCCACCAUUUACAAGUAUUCAAACAGGAGGGGGUGGUGGUGACCCCAGGGAAUUUACCUACAUUUCAUUUCAUUUGUUUUAUUGUCCCCUACAAGAAUGUAUAUGGUUUAAGGGUGGGGAUCUGGACCGUUUACAAGAUAAUAGCACAUUCUCAAAUUGAACGGGGUGGGGCAACCCCAGGAACUUCCCUUUAAUUUCAUUUGAUUAGCUUUAUUGUCCCAUACAAGAAUAUAUAUGGUUUAGGGGUGGGGAUGUUGACCGUUUACAAGUUUUCAAACAAGAGGGGGUAGGGUGACCCCAUAGGGACUUCCCUCUUAUUUCAUUUCAUUUGUUUUAUUGUCCCCUACAAGAAUAUAUAUGGUUUAGGGGUGGGGAUGUUGACCGUUUACAAGUUUUCAAACAAGAGGGGUAGGGGUUACCCCCUACGGAAUUCUCUUUUAUUUCCUUUCAUUUGUUUUAUUGUCCCCUACAAGAAUAUAUAUGGUUUAGGGGUGGGGAUGUUGACCGUUUACAAGUUUUCAAAUAAGAGGGGGUGGGGUUACCCCCUACGGAAUUUCCUUUUAUUUCAUUUCAUUUGUUUUAUUGUCCCCUACAAGAAUAUAUAUGGUUUAGGGGUGGGGAUGUUGACCGUUUACAAGUUUUCAAAUAAGAGGGGGUGGGGUGACCCCCUAGGAACUUCCCUUUAAUUUCAUUUCGUUUGUUUUAUUGUCCCCUACAAGAAUAUAUAUGGUUUAGGGGUGGGGAUGUUGACCGUUUACAAGUUUUCAAACAAGAGGGGGUGGGGAUGACCCCCUAGGGACUUCCCUUUAAUUUCAUUUCAUUUGUUUUAUUGUCCCCUACAAGAAUAUAUAUAGUUUAGGGGUGGGGAUCUGGACCAUUUACAAGAUAAUAGCACAUUCUCAAAUUGACUGGGGUGGGGAUGACCCCCUGGGACCUCCCAUUAAUUUCAUUUGAUUUGUUUUAUUGUCCCAUUCAAGAAUAUAUAUGGUUUAGGGGUGGGGAUCUGGACCGUUUACAAAAUAUAAGCAUAUUCUCAAAUUGAAGGGGGUGGGGAUGAACUCCCAGGGACUCCCCCUAUAUUUCAUGUGAUUUGUUUUAUUGUCCUAUAAUCAAUUCUGAAGACUGCAUGUAUCUAUCACUUACAGUUUUCAAGUUAUAUUCAUU